Molecule: ribosomal RNA, 253 nt
Filed under: uncultured bacterium
Lineage: Bacteria
Description: partial 16S ribosomal RNA
Rfam family: Bacterial small subunit ribosomal RNA
Source: RNAcentral
UACGGGGGGGGCAAGCGUUGUUCGGAAUUACUGGGCGUAAAGGGCUCGUAGGCGGCCAACUAAGUCAGACGUGAAAUCCCUCGGCUUAACCGGGGAACUGCAUCUGAUACUGGAUGGCUUGAGUUCGGGAGAGGGAUGCGGAAUUCCAGGUGUAGCGGUGAAAUGCGUAGAUAUCAGGAAGAACACCCGUGGCGAAAGCGGCUCUCUGGAACGGUACUGACGCUGAGACGCGAAAGCGUGGGGAGCGAACAGG